Humulus lupulus (European hop) is the source of this 1906-nucleotide RNA transcript. It is a transcript of the gene named GPCR-type G protein 1-like, with no coding region annotated. Lineage: Eukaryota; Viridiplantae; Streptophyta; Magnoliopsida; Rosales; Cannabaceae. The record is from RefSeq and is a predicted model, not a curated record. The transcript has 15 exons.
GUUUAUCAGUUCGAACAGGCUGUGCUGCAUCUGGCUUCGGAAAGAAGAAGAAGAAGAAGAAGAAGUUGAUGGUCGACGAUGGGGUGGGGAUGGACGAUAUACGAGGGAGUCGUGAGCUUAGGUUCGCUAUGGCUACUUGGUUGGGCUGGUCUCUGGUUCUUGAACCAGAGACUCUACAAAGAGUACGAAGAGAAGCGUGUUUUGGUUCAGAUCAUCUUCAGCGUUGUUUUUGCUUUCUCCUGUAAUCUUCUCCAGCUCGUUCUCUUCGAGAUCAUUCCCAUUCUAUCCACGGAGGCUCGAUGGUUGAACUGGAAGCUCGAUCUCUUCUGUUUGAUACUCUUGCUGGUCUUCAUGUUGCCCUAUUACCAUUGUUACUUGAUGCUCUGCAACAGCGGAAUCAGAAAGGAACGGGCUGCUCUUGGAGCUAUCUUGUUUCUGCUCGCCUUUCUUUAUGCCUUUUGGCGCAUGGGCAUUCACUUUCCCAUGCCUUCCCCUGAUAAAGGUUUCUUUACCAUUCCUCAAUUGGUUAGUAGAAUUGGGGUCAUUGGUGUUACUGUCAUGGCUGUCUUGUCUGGUUUUGGAGCUGUUAAUUUACCCUACAGUUAUCUAUCUCUCUUCAUUAGAGAGAUUGAAGAAUCAGAUAUUAAGGCCUUGGAAAGACAACUAAUGCAGUCAAUUGAGACUUGCAUUGCAAAGAAAAAGAAAAUUGUCCUUAGUCAAAUGGAGGUGGAGCGUAUUCAGGGCUCCGAAGAGAAAUUAAAAGCUAGAUCCUUCUUCAAACGAAUUGUUGGUACUGUUGUCCGAUCUGUGCAAGAUGACCAAAAGGAGCAAGAUAUUAAAGGUAUGGAAGCAGAGGUGCAAUCAUUGGAGGAGCUUUCAAAGCAACUCUUUUUGGAAAUCUAUGAGCUUCGCCAAGCAAAGGAGGCUGCUGCUUAUUCUCGAACCUGGAGGGGUCACAUGCAAAAUUUACUUGGCUAUGCAUGUUCAGUGUAUUGUGUAUAUAAGAUGAUAAAGUCUUUGCAAAGUGUUGUUUUUAAGGAGGCUGGUUCAGUUGAUCCUGUGACUAGGACAAUUACCAUAUUCUUGCAGUUUUUUGACAUUGGGAUUGAUGCUGCAUUGUUAUCACAGUACAUUUCUCUUUUAUUCAUCGGAAUGUUGAUCGUUAUCUCAGUACGUGGUUUUUUGACAAAUCUAAUGAAGUUCUUUUUUGCAGUUUCCAGAGUUGGGAGUGGAUCUUCAAGUAAUGUUGUACUAUUUUUAUCUGAAAUUAUGGGGAUGUACUUUGUGUCCUCCAUUCUUUUAAUAAGGAAAAGCUUGGCGACUGAAUAUCGGAUCAUCAUAACGGACGUACUGGGUGGCGAUAUUCAGUUCGACUUCUAUCACCGGUGGUUCGAUGCAAUCUUUGUGGCCAGUGCUUUCCUUUCGCUACUUCUGCUCUCUGCACAUUACACAUCUCGACAAGUUGAUAAACACCCUAUUGAUUAGCUAACAUGAUUCAAUUCAGUGCCAAGUAGGCAUGUGGAAAUUAUGCUUGUACUCGCAUUAUUGUAAUUUCUGUGGCGGCACCGUUAGGCUGGAGGAGGCACCGAGGGAUCCUUUGGGUGCCGGUGUGGGUGCUUUGGGGGUCUGGCUCCUUGAGAGGUCAAGGUGCUUUAUACUAUGAGUAGAGAAAUCUAGCGAGAAAGAGAGAGAUGAGAGAAAUUGAUUGAGGGAGAGAGAAAUGGGAAAAAUUAUGCUAAGGGUGUAUUUGGAAUAAAAAAAAGGGUAUCAUAUUUUAAUGAUGCUAAAGUGUAGGCCUUUUUUUUUUUUUUUUUUUUAUAAUUUAGAUACCCUAUUAAGCAUGGAAACUCAAAUUUCCUUGUAUAAUAAAACAAAACAAAAAAGUUAUUGCCGAGAACCUUAAUUU